This 460-nucleotide ribosomal RNA is filed under the name uncultured bacterium. Its description in RNAcentral is "partial 16S ribosomal RNA". It matches the Rfam family "Bacterial small subunit ribosomal RNA", at positions 338 to 795 of the family's 1533-position model. The record is from RNAcentral.
CCUACGGGAGGCAGCAGUGAGGAAUAUUGGUCAAUGGACGAGAGUCUGAACCAGCCAAGUAGCGUGAAGGAUGACUGCCCUAUGGGUUGUAAACUUCUUUUAUAUGGGAAUAAAACGUUCCACGUGUGGGAUUUUGUAUGUACCAUAUGAAUAAGGAUCGGCUAACUCCGUGCCAGCAGCCGCGGUAAUACGGAGGAUCCGAGCGUUAUCCGGAUUUAUUGGGGUUAAAGGGAGCGUAGGUGGAUUGUUAAGUCAGUUGUGAAAGUUUGCGGCUCAACCGUAAAAUUGCAGUUGAAACUGGCAGUCUUGAGUACAGUAGAGGUGGGCGGAAGUCGUGGUGUAGCGGUGAAAUGCUUAGAUAUCACGAAGAACUCCGAUUGCGAAGGCAGUUCACUGGACUGCAACUGACACUGAGGCUCGAAAGUGUGGGUAUCAAACAGGAUUAGAUACCCUGGUAGUC